AUUGAACGCUGGCGGCAUGCUUUACACAUGCAAGUCGAACGGCAGCGCGGACUUCGGUCUGGCGGCGAGUGGCGAACGGGUGAGUAAUAUAUCGGAACGUACCCAAGAGUGGGGAUAACGUAGCGAAAGUUACGCUAAUACCGCAUACGAUCUAAGGAUGAAAGCAGGGGAUCGCAAGACCUUGUGCUCCUGGAGCGGCCGAUAUCUGAUUAGCUAGUUGGUGAGGUAAAGGCUCACCAAGGCAACGAUCAGUAGCUGGUCUGAGAGGACGACCAGCCACACUGGAACUGAGACACGGUCCAGACUCCUACGGGAGGC
Molecule: ribosomal RNA, 318 nt
Filed under: uncultured bacterium
Lineage: Bacteria
Description: bacterial SSU rRNA
Rfam family: Bacterial small subunit ribosomal RNA
Source: RNAcentral